GACGAACGCUGGCGGCGUGCUUAACACAUGCAAGUCGAACGGAAAGGCCCUGCUUUUGUGGGGUUCUCGAGUGGCGAACGGGUGUGUAACACGUGAGUAACCUGCCCUUGACUUUGGGAUAACUUCAGGAAACUGGGGCUAAUACCGGAUAGGAGCUCCUGCUGCAUGGUGGGGGUUGGAAAGUUUCGGCGGUUGGGGAUGGACUCGCGGCUUAUCAGCUUGUUGGUGGGGUAGUGGCUUACCAAGGCUUUGACGGGUAGCCGGCCUGAGAGGGUGACCGGCCACAUUGGGACUAGGAUACGGCCCAGACUCCUACGGGAGGCAGCAGUGGGGAAUAUUGCACAAUGGGCGGAAGCCGGAUGCAGCAACGCCGCGUGCGGGAUGACGGCCUUCGGGUUGUAAACCGCUUUCGCCUGUGACGAAGCGUGAGUGACGGUAAUGGGUAAAGAAGCACCGGCUAACUACGUG
RNAcentral lists this ribosomal RNA (468 nucleotides) under uncultured bacterium. RNAcentral's name for it is "partial 16S ribosomal RNA". It matches the Rfam family "Bacterial small subunit ribosomal RNA", at positions 28 to 507 of the family's 1533-position model. The record is from RNAcentral.